AUAGCUCAGUCGGUAGAGCAGAGGACUGAAAAUCCUCGUGUCCCUGGUUCGAUUCCU
Molecule: transfer RNA, 57 nt
Filed under: Clostridium botulinum CFSAN001628
Lineage: Bacteria; Bacillati; Bacillota; Clostridia; Eubacteriales; Clostridiaceae
Description: tRNA-Phe
Rfam family: tRNA
About the family: Transfer RNA (tRNA) molecules are approximately 80 nucleotides in length. Their secondary structure includes four short double-helical elements and three loops (D, anti-codon, and T loops). Further hydrogen bonds mediate the characteristic L-shaped molecular structure. tRNAs have two regions of fundamental functional importance: the anti-codon, which is responsible for specific mRNA codon recognition, and the 3' end, to which the tRNAs corresponding amino acid is attached (by aminoacyl-tRNA synthetases). tRNAs cope with the degeneracy of the genetic code in two manners: having more than one tRNA (with a specific anti-codon) for a particular amino acid; and 'wobble' base-pairing, i.e. permitting non-standard base-pairing at the 3rd anti-codon position.
Source: RNAcentral